UUUCCGGUUGAUCCUGCCGGACCUGACUGCUAUCGGAUUGAUACUAAGCCAUGCGAGUCUUUGCAGUAAUGCAAGGCAUACGGCUCAGUAACACGUAGUCAACUUACCCUAUGGACGAGGAUAAUCUCGGGAAACUGAGCAUAAUACUCGAUAGAUCAUAAUGCCUGGAAUGGUUUAUGGUUGAAAUGAUUCGUCGCCAUAGGAUGGGACUGCGGCCUAUCAGCUUGUUGGUGAGGUAAUGGCCCACCAAGGCGAUUACAGGUACGGGCUCUGAGAGGAGAAGCCCGGAGAUGGGUACUGAGACAAGGACCCAGGCCCUAUGGGGCGCAGCAGGCGAGAAAACUUUGCAAUGUGCGAAAGCACGACAAGGUUAAUCCGAGUGAUUUCUGCUAAAGAAAUCUUUUGCAAGUCAUAAAACCACUAGUGAAUAAGGGGUGGGCAAGUUCUGGUGUCAGCCGCCGCGGUAAAACCAGCACCUCAAGUGGUCAGGAGGAUUAUUGGGCCUAAAGCAUCCGUAGCCGGCUCUGUAAGUUUUCGGUUAAAUCCAUGUGCUCAACGCAUGGGCUGCCGAAAAUACUGCAUAGCUAGGGAGUGGGAGAGGUAGACGGUACUCGGUAGGAAGGGGUAAAAUCCUUUGAUCUAUCGAUGACCACCUGUGGCGAAGGCGGUCUACCAGAACACGUUCGACGGUGAGGGAUGAAAGCUGGGGGAGCAAACCGGAUUAGAUACCCGGGUAGUCCCAGCUGUAAACGAUGCAGACUCGGUGAUGCAUUGGCAUAUAGCCAGUGCAGUGUCGCAGGGAAGCCGUUAAGUCUGCCGCCUGGGAAGUACGUACGCAAGUAUGAAACUUAAAGGAAUUGGCGGGGGAGCACCACAAGGGGUGAAGCCUGCGGUUCAAUUGGAGUCAACGCCGGG
This 915-nucleotide ribosomal RNA is filed under the name uncultured archaeon. Its description in RNAcentral is "SSU rRNA". It matches the Rfam family "Archaeal small subunit ribosomal RNA", at positions 1 to 922 of the family's 1478-position model. The record is from RNAcentral.